Molecule: ribosomal RNA, 737 nt
Filed under: Apilactobacillus kunkeei
Lineage: Bacteria; Bacillati; Bacillota; Bacilli; Lactobacillales; Lactobacillaceae
Description: bacterial SSU rRNA
Rfam family: Bacterial small subunit ribosomal RNA
Source: RNAcentral
UUUUCGCUGCAGUGGGGAUUUUUCCACCUUGGACGAAAGUAUGAUGGAGCAACGCCGCGCGAGUGAUGAAGGUUUUUCGGAUCGAAAAACUCUGUUGUUAAAGAAAAACAAGUGUUAGAGUAACUGUUAACACUUUGACGGUAUUUAACCAAAAAGCCACGGCUAAUUACGUGCCAGCAGCCGCGGUAAUACGUAGGUGGCAAGGGUUGUCCGGAUUUAUUGGGCGUAAAGCGAGCGCAGGCGGUUUUGUAAUUUUGCUGUGAAAGCCCUCAGCUCAACUGAGGAAGUGCAGUGGAAACUACAAAACUUGAGUACAGAAGGGGAAAGUGGAACUCCAUGUGUAGCGGGGAAAUGAGUAGAAAUAUGGAAGAACACCAGUGGCGAAGGGGGGUUUUUGGUCUGUUACUGACGCUGAGGCUCGAAAGCAUGGGUAGCGAACAGGAUUAGAUACCCCGGUAGUCCAUCCCGUAAACGAUGAAUACUAGGGGUUGGAGGGUUUCCGCCCCUCAGUGCCGCAGCUAACGCAUUAAGUAUUCCGCCUGGGGAGUACGACCGCAAGGUUGAAACUCAAAGGAAUUGACGGGGGCCCGCACAAGUGGUGGAGCAUGUGGUUUAAUUCGUGCUACGCGAAGAACCUUACCAGCUCUUGACAUUUUUUGCCAACCCAAGAGAUUGGGGGUUCCCUUAGGGGACAGAAUGACCAGGUGCGACAUGGGUGUUUUCAUAUUAAUUUCUGU